GGCUCGAUAGCUCAGUUGGUAGAGCAACGGACUGAAAAUCCGUGUGUCGGCGGUUCGAUUCCGUCUCGAGCCACCA
This 76-nucleotide transfer RNA is filed under the name Niallia circulans. RNAcentral describes it as "Bacillus circulans tRNA-Phe(gaa)". It matches the Rfam family "tRNA". From Rfam's summary of the family: Transfer RNA (tRNA) molecules are approximately 80 nucleotides in length. RNAcentral also lists the same sequence under 11 other names. Lineage: Bacteria; Bacillati; Bacillota; Bacilli; Caryophanales; Bacillaceae. The record is from RNAcentral.